CGUGGUCUCCUCAGGGCAGUUCUGGCUAGGUGGAGAGGACUGUGCUUGGGGUUGCCAGGAGAGCAGCCAGUAAGAAGGGAGCUCUUCGUGUCCACCUCCUCAGCUCCCACGCCAGGGCUGUGCCUCGCCUCUUCCCACUCUCCCACAGCCUCCCUGCCCAACGGGAUUCCAGAGACUGGGAGGUACUCCCCAGCCUGACUCAGGCAAACUGAGCUCCUGGCUUCUGACAUGCAGGCCCUGAGGCAAGUCUUGCUCUGGGAAGAUGAACAGGUUUUUAUUAUCUCCACUUUAGGAAAAAGCUUCAACUUCUGGCUGCUGUGGGAGGCUCGUUCCCGAGAAGAAAAAUGACCUCUGGUUGCAGUUCGCAUGGGACAUCUCCCCAGCUAGGCUGGGAGCUCGCUGAGGGCAGGACCUUGGCCCCUGAGCUUCCAACUCAGCCCCUCCCCUCCUCGGCCUUGCCCUUUGCAGGCAGAAUACCAAGGGCUGCCUCCAGAAGUCUGUGACAUUGAGGACCCUGAGUUCAAGCGAGCUGCCUCUGGCCCUCCUUUCAUUUGCAUGAAAUACUGGCCAGGGCUUUCCAGCUGAACCCCCACCACCGAGAGCUCAAACCAGAAAAGCAAUCAACAUCUGGCUACCUCGCUCGCAGAGACC
Molecule: long non-coding RNA, 651 nt
Filed under: Equus caballus (horse)
Lineage: Eukaryota; Metazoa; Chordata; Mammalia; Perissodactyla; Equidae
Description: lncRNA (ENSECAG00000047019.1)
Source: RNAcentral